GAUGAACGCUGGCGGCGUGCCUAAUACAUGCAAGUCGAGCGAACAGACGAGGAGCUUGCUCCUCUGUCGUUAGCGGCGGACGGGUGAGUAACACGUGGAUAACCUACCUAUAAGACUGGGAUAACUUCGGGAAACCGGAGCUAAUACCGGAUAAUAUAUUGAACCGCAUGGUUCAAUAGUGAAAGACGGUUUUGCUGUCACUUAUAGAUGGAUCCGCGCCGCAUUAGCUAGUUGGUAAGGUAACGGCUUACCAAGGCAACGAUGCGUAGCCGACCUGAGAGGGUGAUCGGCCACACUGGAACUGAGACACGGUCCAGACUCCUACGGGAGGCAGCAGUAGGGAAUCUUCCGCAAUGGGCGAAAGCCUGACGGAGCAACGCCGCGUGAGUGAUGAAGGUCUUCGGAUCGUAAAACUCUGUUAUUAGGGAAGAACAAAUGUGUAAGUAACUAUGCACGUCUUGGCGGUACCUAAUCAGAAAGCCACGGCUAACUACGUG
RNAcentral lists this ribosomal RNA (497 nucleotides) under uncultured bacterium. RNAcentral's name for it is "partial 16S ribosomal RNA". It matches the Rfam family "Bacterial small subunit ribosomal RNA", at positions 28 to 507 of the family's 1533-position model. The record is from RNAcentral.